RNAcentral lists this long non-coding RNA (1615 nucleotides) under Homo sapiens (human). RNAcentral's name for it is "long intergenic non-protein coding RNA 2395". Lineage: Eukaryota; Metazoa; Chordata; Mammalia; Primates; Hominidae. The record is from RNAcentral.
GGGGAGGGGCUGCUGAGGAAGGCCACAGGGGCUAAGGAGGAUUUCCUCAGAGCUUUUGGGAAGCUAUACGUUCCUGGCCCCGAGGUAAAGCUCCCACAGGCUGCUUGACCCAACAGAGCAGCUCCUACCCACUGGGAUUCUCGGUCUGCAGGAAUCUGGCAUCCACCUGGGGAGCAUCUGGCUGAGGCAGCCUGGAGACAGGCACGCACCAGAAGACUUCUGGUUCCAUCCAGGCCCAAGGACCACUGAACUGGAGCGGUCUUCUCCAUCCCCCAGCAAGCCUGUGCGUGAGCUGGGGACAAGGGGCAGAGGAGGCAGAGGUCCCCCUCACACCAGGAAGGGAACAGCGCCACUAAAGGGCCUGGUGGAGGCAGGGUGGAGGUGGAAGGAGACUCAGCAGAAGGGAUGAGGAAACUGAGGCUGAGAGGGUAGAGAACUUUGCCUGAGGUCACUCAGCAGGGACCCACCCAUCACAGUAAAUGCCAGCACUGCUGAUGCCAAAACAAUGUUAUUUGUAGGCCCUCGGAAUUUGUGACCUGAAGGAAGAAGAGCAGGGCCGUGGGAAGUAUGUAACCAGUGUCAUGCCCCUGGUCCCAAGGAAGCAGUGGCUUGUGAGCCCGGUGCCCCCCCGGGCCUCCUCAGUGAGCUGAGGAGGCUCAGCAGUGCCUGCACGUCCCCUCGCCACAAUGUCAUGUGCCACCUCUUCAAAGGAGGGAUGUACCAGCUAGUGGACGUGACCUUGACUGCAAAGGGCGGCACGCAGCUGAUGUAAUGGUCGCUUAAGUGUUCACAAAUGCCUGAACACCCUGUCCUACCUGGUCCUACCUGGAUGCUGGCCUCAGUAAGCUCCUGGGCUCAUUGAAGAUGAACCUAGCAGUAGUAUUUACACCACUUGUUGUGUGCCCACUGUGGGCCCGGCGCCAUGCCGAGUGCUCUAUGGAUGUGAGAUGAGAACACUGAAGCAGUUUUUUCUAAAGAUAGCUGCCUGGCACAGUGGCUCACAUCUGUAGUCCCAGCAUUUGGGGAGGCCAAGGCAGGUGGAUCACUUGAGGCCAGGAAUUCAAGACCAGCAUGGCCAACAUGUGCUGGGAGAGAAAAGCAUACGACAUAGACAGGGAGGUCAAGCUCCACCACGCAGAUGAGGUGCAGGCCACCAGUCUUCCUCUGCCACAUCUCUUUCUGAAAAGGACUUCACAUUCACCCUUGCAAUCCAUGUGGGGACACUGUUGGAUAGGAGGCGUGGUCCCAGCGUGGUCUCCCUGUCUGGGCCUCUGCCUAUGCCAAAUGUUUGCCUUACGCUGCACACUCAAGAGGUUCCAUGUAUACAGAUGGGAAUUCCAGAGCUACAGAAAAGGCAGCAAGCACCAUGAUUUAAGCUAACCAGUGUGGAUUCACACCUUCCUCUCUCUCUAUCAGUGGCAGAACUACCAGCUAGAGUAAGAAGUGGUUGAUCCAGGACCUAAACAUUCUGGAAACUCUUGCCCACUUCUGGGAGAAAUGACCCAAUCCAUAGUACUAAGCACACCUUAACUUUCGUAGGACGCAGGCAAGUUGUCAUACCGUGUGCCUAAAUAUAGAAAAAUGAUCCACUGGACUAAUAAAGUGUUAAAUAAAA